RNAcentral lists this small RNA (58 nucleotides) under Arabidopsis thaliana (thale cress). Its description in RNAcentral is "ATSL042760". The record is from RNAcentral. Lineage: Eukaryota; Viridiplantae; Streptophyta; Magnoliopsida; Brassicales; Brassicaceae.
AUUUUAUUUUUCUUAUAUCUAACACGCGUCAGAAAAGAUAACUGUUGUCAAUAUAUUU